Molecule: non-coding RNA, 97 nt
Filed under: Streptococcus henryi
Lineage: Bacteria; Bacillati; Bacillota; Bacilli; Lactobacillales; Streptococcaceae
Description: TPP sequence
Rfam family: TPP riboswitch aptamer (THI element)
About the family: Vitamin B(1) in its active form thiamin pyrophosphate (TPP) is an essential coenzyme that is synthesised by coupling of pyrimidine and thiazole moieties in bacteria. The previously detected thiamin-regulatory element, thi box was extended, resulting in a new, highly conserved RNA secondary structure, the THI element, which is widely distributed in eubacteria and also occurs in some archaea.
Source: Rfam by way of RNAcentral
AACUUCACAAAGGAGUGCCUAGGCUGAGAUCGCAUCUGCGAAAUCCUAAGAACCUGAUCUCGUUAGUACGAGCGGAGGAAUUGUGACCAUUUCAUAG